CCUACGGGGUGCAGCAGUGGGGAAUAUUGCACAAUGGGGGAAACCCUGAUGCAGCGACGCCGCGUGAGCGAAGAAGUACUUCGGUAUGUAAAGCUCUAUCAGCAGGGAAGAAAAUGACGCUACCUGACUAAGUAGCUCCGGAUAAAUACGUGCCAGCAGCCGCGGUAAUACGUAUGGGGCAAGCGUUAUCCGGAUUUACUGGGUGUAAAGGGAGUGCAGGCGGCUUGGCAAGUCAGAUGUGAAAGGCUGGGGCUCAACCCCAGGAUUGCAUUGGAAACUGUUAGGCUGGAGUGUCGGAGAGGUAAGCGGAAGUCCUAGUGUAGCGGUGAAAUGCGUAGAUAUUAGGAAGAACACCAGUGGCGAAGGCAGCUUACUGGGCGACAACUGACGCUGAGGCUCGAAAGCGUGGGGAGCAAACAGGAUUAGAUACCCCUGUAGUC
This 440-nucleotide ribosomal RNA is filed under the name uncultured bacterium. RNAcentral describes it as "partial 16S ribosomal RNA". It matches the Rfam family "Bacterial small subunit ribosomal RNA", at positions 338 to 795 of the family's 1533-position model. The record is from RNAcentral.